GCACUUGUUCCGCUUUUCAAUCAAAGGACCGGUAUCGCCCACCAUGACACAUCGUCUGCUACAACAAGAUGGCGGCUGUCAAAAUGCAUUGGGCGAAGCUAGUGAGCUCUGGAAAAUUGUAGUUUUCCCAGUAAUGGAGAUUAACAGCUGGUGUCACAUAAGGCCAUAGAAUGUUUCCCGGAUCCUCUGCUUGGUGUCGCUGCUCUUGCUCUGCUUUCCAAGGAAUUAAAGGACCGUUAUCGCCCACCAUAAAACAUGGUCUGCUUAAACAAGAUGGCGGCUGCCAAAACACAUUGGGCAAGGCUUGAGAGCCUUGAAAUAUUGUAGUUUUCGCAGUAAUAGAGGAACCAUGCCAUAAUGGGAGAUGGACUAGAGAUGAGGAGAAAUUUUUGACAGUUUGUGGAGAGCAGGGGGGUGGAAAAUAUCAAAUACACAGAGUGGAAGGACUGUGCAGAAGACCAGAGAAAUGGGUGUACAGACUGAUGUAACCUUUGGGCCUAUGAUUGAAGUGACCUGGGCAUGUAGCAGUCAUGCACUUUAUACCACUCAUUCGCAUUCCUUAAUUAGAUCUAUGUUAUCAAAUGUAUCAGUCAGUGAACCAGCCUCACCCGCCAUACGCUCACAGACCUGCCAUGUCUCUGACAUACCGUCAACCGAUGCCACUUCUCCAUUUGGUGCCCGAACAAAACUACUCGCAACCACUUACAGUCAGUGAACCAGCCGCACCUGCUAUAUGCUCACAGACCUGCCAUGUCUCUGACAUACCGUCAACUGAUGCCACUUCUCCGUUGGUGCCUAAACAAAACUGCUUGCAACCACUUACAGUCAGUGAACCAGCCUCACCAGUUGUCUGUUGUUCAAUUAUGCUUGAGCAUAACUAAGCAAAUCAAAAGAGAACCCAAAUCUUAUCAAAGAAAAAGAUUAAAAGGCAGAAAAAAAUAAUGUCAAUUGGCAGAAUUUCUUACCCACCAAUCAAGAAAUGUUCCUGGAAGAGUAUCUUUGACUCAUCUGGUCAAACUGGUAUUCAUGUACAACAAAAUGAAUAAAUGCUCAAUUAUCGCAUUAACAGAUUUCUUUGCCAUUUGGCAUGGAUACUUUCACAAGUUCAGGAAAAAGCUGAGAUGGGUUAUCAAUUUGCAAAUGUUUGUUAAUGAGGUUAAUGUUCACUUGUUGUAUAUUUUCACCAUAUAUUUGGGGCCAUUCAAAUUGGAUUGUGUGAUAUUAAUUCUAUGAUCAUGUUGUACUGUUGUUUUGUGCAGUAUCGAAGAAAGAUAUUUCAGUGUUAUAACUAUUUAUUCUUGUAACUAAUAUCAAUCCCAGCUGUAU
RNAcentral lists this long non-coding RNA (1326 nucleotides) under Haliotis rufescens (red abalone). RNAcentral describes it as "uncharacterized LOC124151840". Lineage: Eukaryota; Metazoa; Mollusca; Gastropoda; Lepetellida; Haliotidae. The record is from RNAcentral.